RNAcentral lists this ribosomal RNA (443 nucleotides) under uncultured bacterium. RNAcentral describes it as "partial 16S ribosomal RNA". It matches the Rfam family "Bacterial small subunit ribosomal RNA", at positions 338 to 795 of the family's 1533-position model. The record is from RNAcentral.
CCUACGGGAGGCAGCAGUGGGGAAUAUUGGACAAUGGGGGGAACCCUGAUCCAGCGACGCCGCGUGAGUGAAGAAGUAUUUCGGUAUGUAAAGCUCUAUCAGCAGGGAAGAAAGAAAUGACGGUACCUGACUAAGAAGCCCCGGCUAACUACGUGCCAGCAGCCGCGGUAAUACGUAGGGGGCAAGCGUUAUCCGGAUUUACUGGGUGUAAAGGGAGCGUAGACGGCGAUGCAAGUCUGAAGUGAAAGGCGGGGGCCCAACCCCCGGACUGCUUUGGAAACUGUAUGGCUGGAGGGCAGGAGAGGUAAGUGGAAUUCCUAGUGUAGCGGUGAAAUGCGUAGAUAUUAGGAGGAACACCAGUGGCGAAGGCGGCUUACUGAACUGUAACUGACGUUGAGGCUCGAAAGCGUGGGGAGCAAACAGGAUUAGAUACCCCAGUAGUC